RNAcentral lists this ribosomal RNA (254 nucleotides) under uncultured bacterium. RNAcentral's name for it is "partial 16S ribosomal RNA". It matches the Rfam family "Bacterial small subunit ribosomal RNA", at positions 524 to 776 of the family's 1533-position model. The record is from RNAcentral.
CACGUAGGCACCAAGCGUUGUCCGGAUUUAUUGGGCGUAAAGCGCUCGUAGGCGGUUCAUUAAGUCGGGUGUGAAAACUCAGGGCUCAACCCUGAGCUGCCACCCGAUACUGCUGUGACUUGAGUCUGGUAGGGGAGUGGGGAAUUCCUGGUGUAGCGGUGAAAUGCGCAGAUAUCAGGAGGAACACCGGUGGUGAAGGCGGGUCUCUGGGCAGUAACUGACGCUGAGGAGCGAAAGCGUGGGGAGCGAACAGG